Molecule: ribosomal RNA, 450 nt
Filed under: uncultured bacterium
Lineage: Bacteria
Description: partial 16S ribosomal RNA
Rfam family: Bacterial small subunit ribosomal RNA
Source: RNAcentral
CCUACGGGAGGCUGCAGUUAAGAAUCUUGCACAAUGGGCGCAAGCCUGAUGCAGCGACGCCGCGUGAAUGAUGAAGGCCUUCGGGUUGUAAAGUUCAGUAAGCAGGGAAGAAUAAGCAACGGGUAAUAUUCGUUGUGAUGACGGUACCUGCCUAAAGCCCCGGCUAACUACGUGCCAGCAGCCGCGGUAAUACGUAUGGGGCAAGCGUUGUUGGGAAUUGGUGGGCGAGAAGGGCGACUAAGCUGGAGGUGAAAGCCACGGGCUCAACCCGUGAACUGCAUCUAAGACUGGUUCUCUUGAGUCCGGGAGAGGAGAGCGGAAUUCCAGGUGUAGCGGUGAAAUGCGUAGAUAUCUGGAAGAACACCAGUGGCGAAGGCGGCUCUCUGGCCUAGGACUGACGCUGAAGCGCGAAAGCGUGGGGAGCGAACAGGAUUAGAUACCCUUGUAGUC